Molecule: RNase P RNA, 442 nt
Filed under: Desulfamplus sp.
Lineage: Bacteria; Pseudomonadati; Thermodesulfobacteriota; Desulfobacteria; Desulfobacterales; Desulfobacteraceae
Description: RNase P RNA component class A
Rfam family: Bacterial RNase P class A
About the family: Ribonuclease P (RNase P) is a ubiquitous endoribonuclease, found in archaea, bacteria and eukarya as well as chloroplasts and mitochondria. Its best characterised activity is the generation of mature 5'-ends of tRNAs by cleaving the 5'-leader elements of precursor-tRNAs.
Source: RNAcentral
AAAGUAGAUCAGGCGAUCGCAGGAUUUAAAAAUCUUGAGGAAAGUCCGAACACCAUAGGGCAGGACGCUCCAUAACGUGGAGUCGCGGUAACGUGAAGGAAAGUGCAACAGAGAAGAGACCGCCAGCAAUUUUAUUUUUUUAUGAGACUGUUAAUUGUUAAAUUCAUUAUUAUGAUAAUUAACACCAUAGAUAUAGUAAAUAUAGCUGGUAAGGGUGAAACGGUGCGGUAAGAGCGCACCAGUUUUUCAGGUGACUGAAAAAGCUUGGUAAACCCCGUCCGGUGCAAGACCAAAUAGGGAAGUGCUUGAGGGCUGCCCGUCCAAAACUUCCGGGUAGGUCGCAUGAGGUGUGCGGCAACGUACAUCCAAGAUGAAUGAUCGCUGCUCUGAAUGAGGGUAACCUUAUCAGAGAACAGAAUUCGGCUUACGAGCUACUUUCACC